GUGCCCUACGGGGCGCAGCAGUGAGGAAUAUUGGUCAAUGGACGCAAGUCUGAACCAGCCAUGCCGCGUGCAGGAAGACGGCUCUAUGAGUUGUAAACUGCUUUUGUACGAGGGUAAAUGCAGGUACGUGUAUCUGUUUGAAAGUAUCGUACGAAUAAGGAUCGGCUAACUCCGUGCCAGCAGCCGCGGUAAUACGGAGGAUCCAAGCGUUAUCCGGAUUUAUUGGGUUUAAAGGGUGCGUAGGCGGUUUUUUAAGUUAGUGGUUAAACGUCGGGGCUUCACCUUGAUUUUGCAUUAAUACUGUA
RNAcentral lists this ribosomal RNA (305 nucleotides) under uncultured bacterium. Its description in RNAcentral is "bacterial SSU rRNA". It matches the Rfam family "Bacterial small subunit ribosomal RNA", at positions 334 to 637 of the family's 1533-position model. The record is from RNAcentral.